GGGCGGAGGGGGUCCAGGACCCUUUUUGAGUGGCAUUGCAGUUGGCAUUGAUCCUUUUGUAGGCAUGACAGGUGGUGGUGGUGGUGAUUGCAAUAAUUCUUUGGAAAGCGGGGCUGGCAGUGGAGGAGCACUUUUUGGGAUGUCAGUUUCACCGGUUGUAUCUUGUUGUUUCUCAUGAUCAUUCUCAUUCACAUUUGGCAAUGGAACCUUCGUGUUUUUGCUUGUCUGCAAGUGACAUUCAAUUAUGCCAGUGUUUGCUGCUCUCACUUCUUCUUUGCUCUGUG
RNAcentral lists this unclassified non-coding RNA (284 nucleotides) under Hevea brasiliensis (rubber tree). Lineage: Eukaryota; Viridiplantae; Streptophyta; Magnoliopsida; Malpighiales; Euphorbiaceae. The record is from RNAcentral.